This is a non-coding RNA of Carica papaya (papaya), 3990 nucleotides long. NCBI's taxonomy places the organism in Eukaryota, Viridiplantae, Streptophyta, Magnoliopsida, Brassicales, Caricaceae. The record is from RefSeq and is a predicted model, not a curated record.
UUCUUCAUCGUAGUUUUAGUUAUUAACUAUAUUUAGGCUCAAAACGACUAAAUUAGUGCCUGCCAUUUCUUUUUGUGAACACUUCACACAAUAAUACACACACACACGUUCAACUGAGAAAGUAGUAAAUGGUCACUUUUCAUAUUUGCACGUUUCCUUGUUGUUGGAAGUACAGUUGUGCACAGUUCGCUGUAGGUCUGACUUCACGAAGUGAGACUAGGAUGAGACUUAUAAGAGGUGAUAAAUUUCUGAUGUUAUGAUAUCAAAUUGUAACAGGGUUUAUUUUGUUUAAUAUUUUUACCCUUGCAAUUCUUUGAAAAUGAAAUCGAAAGACAUGAUGGCUGAAUUUCAGGUUGGUCAAGAAAUAUUACUUUAGUGAUUAUGGUCAGGAUUAACAGUGUCAAAUUUACAUUCAGAAGGAUUUUGCAGAUUUUGAGAGAAACCUUUCUUCAAGAAUACCGGAAAGUUGUUGAGAGGCGUGUUUUUGCCGGUUUGAACCCCGAUUCUGCUUUCUAUCAAUGACCAGUAUUGGCAAUCUAAAGCCUUGACUUUUUUUCAUUAUUUUGGACUAGGCUUCAGUCAGUUUUGCAGUAAAAGGAUAAAGAAUAAUUUCAUUGGGAGGAACAAAGAGGAUUAAACUAAUUAACUUAAAAUAUGCACAUAUAUUUGAUUUAAUAUUUGCACAAACAAAUCUGCAUUCUUUUUGCAUGGAAUCUACAGGGCGGCUAAAUUGUUGCUGGAACUUCUAAUUUUUUGAAUAAAUGCCUUUGUCUUUUCACAGCUCAUUCGAGCUAGCAUCAAUGACAUUCCUUGUUCCUUUCUUUUCUUGUAUUCUUUAUAAACUAAAUAUUAUUUGCACUUUUAUAAUUUUGAUAGUCAUAAUGAAUCUUGCUAUCACGUGCUCGAUCAAACAACGAAUGGAAAAGGAUGUUGAUGAAGUUGAAAAAAUCGACGAUUUCAUAAAUAGGAAAAUUGAAGAACUUGACAGGGAGGUAACAAACUUAUUGUAUGUUUGUAAAGUAUGAAACUUCUAUUUCCUCACAUUGUAUUUAUGGUACACAGAAUUUAUCUAAUAGGCGGAAGCUUGGGUGUGGAAAAAGGUUUUGACUCCUCCUUUCUUUGAUAUAUUUUGAUGUUUUUUUCUUUUCACCUGUUUCUUCGUACUUAUUUUUGUCUUGAAUUUCAUAUUGACGAUGCUUUUUAGUCACAAAUUUAUACUGUUAGAUACUCAAUUUCUAUAUUAGUUUUGCUGUAUCAAAACAUAAUCAAUUUGUAAGUUAUUGCAAAACAAAGAAGUGGUAGCAUCCGUCACAAACCAUUUGUUUGUAGACUAACCUAAUGUUAUCACUGGUGUCUAUAUGGAAGUUUUCCUGCUGGAAAUGAACUGCCACUCCCAGUUUUGUAGCACAAGAAGUUCAUGCUUUGGCUUCAUAUUCCAAAGUCUUGAUGCAUUGUGUUAAUUUCACAUUAAAGUUUGGAUAUUUUACAGUUUAUUUCUCUUUUUGUUUGAGGAGUGGUGUAAAUGAUAAGAAAUGUUAAAGACAGAAUUCUAUUUUUCUCUUUCCUAAUGUUUGGUCAGCAAAAGAUGAAAGGAAAAGUAGUUAUUCUCUUUUGAAGUUUAUGAAUGAAACACAGGUGCACAUAUUAGGACUCUAAUUUUGUUAUAUUUUCUGGAGGUGUAGAAUCUAAUAAAUUAGGCCAUGCCUUUUGUUUUUGUCAACACUUCACAAAAUAAUACACAGACAUGUUCAACCGAAAAAGCAGUAAAUGGUCAGUUUGCAUAAUUGCACGUUUCCUUGUUGUUGGAAGUACAAUUGUGCACAGUUUGCUGUAGGUCUGACUUCCGGAAGUAGGACUAGGAUGGGACUUAUAAGAGGUGAUAAACUCUUAUGUUAUUAUAUCAAAAUGUGACAGUGGCAGUUCUUUACUCUCUGUAUCCCUUUCUUUGUGCACAUUUCACCAUUUGAUUAUACAUCAUUUCACCUUUUCACAAAUAUUUUCCAUGUCUUACAGGCUGAUUUUGUUUAAUAUUUUUACUCUUGCAAUUCUUUGAAAAAGAAAUUGAAAGACAAGAUGGCUGAAUUUCAGGUUCGUCAAGAAAUAACUACUUUAAUAAUUAUGGUCGGGAUUAACAGUGUCAAAUUUACGGUCUGAAGGAUUUUGAAGACAUUGAGAGAACCGUUCGUCAAGAGUAGCGAGAAGUUGUUGAGAGGCAUGUUUUUGCAGGUUUGAACCCCGAUCCUACUUUCUGUCAAUGACCAAUAUUGGCAAUCUAAAGCUCUCAAUUUUUUUUCUUUAUUUUGGACUAAGCUUCAAUUAGUCUUCUAGUAAAAGGAUAAAGGAUAAUUUCAUUGGGAGGAACAAAGAGGAUUAAACUAAUUAACUUAAAAUAUGCACAUAUAUUUGAUUUAAUAUUUGCACAAACAAAUCUGCAUUUUUUUGCAUGGAAUCUAUAGGGAGGCUAAAUUAUUGUUGGAACUUAUAAUUUUUUGAAUAAGUGCCUUUGUCUUUUCACAGCUCAUUUGAGCUAGCGUCAAUGACAUUCCUUGUUCCUUUCUUUUCUUGUAUUCUUUAUAAACUAAAUAUUAUUUGCACUUUUAUAAUUCUGAUAGUCAUAAUGAAUCUUGCUAUCAUGUGCUGCAAUCAAACAAUGAACGGAAAGGAUGUUGAUGAAGUUGGAAAAAUGUCCAGUAUAUUUCAUAAAUAGGAAAAUUGAAGAACUUGACAGGGAGGUAACAACAUUAUUAUACGUUUGUAAACUAUGACACUUCUAUUUCUUCAUAUGGUAUUUAUGGUAUACAACAUUUAUCUAAUAGGCAGAAGCCUGGGUGUGGAAAAAGAUCUGGAGUGGACGGAUCAAGAAUAGCAACAACUCUUUAAUGGAUCCUCCUGUUCUACUCCUUUCUUUGAUAUAUUUUAAUGUUUUUUUCUUUUCACCUGUUUCUCUGCACUUAUUUUUGUCUUGAAUUACAUAUUGACAAUGCUUUUUGGUGACAAUUUUAUACUGUUAGAUACUCAGUUUCUAUAUGAGGUUUGCUGUACCAAAACAUAAUCAAUUUGUAAGUUAUUGCAAAACAAAAUAGUUGUAGCGUCCAUCACAAACCAUUUGCUUUAGACUAAACCUAAUGUUAUCACUGGUGUCUAUAUGGAAGUUUUCCUGCAGGAAAUGAACUGCCACUCUCAGUUCUGUAGUACAGUAAGUUCUUUCUUUGGCUUCAUAUUCCAAAGUUUUGUUGCAUUUUGUUAAUUUUGCAUUAAAAUUUGGAUGUUUUACAGUUUAUUUAUCUUUUUAUUUGAGGAGUGGUGUAAAUGAUAAGAAAUGUUAAACACAAAAUUCUAUUUUUCUUUUUCCUAAUGUUGGUUCAGCAAAAGAUGAAACGGAAAGUAGUUAUUCUCUUUUGAAGUUUAUGAAUGAAACACAGGGGCGCAUAUUUGGAUUCUAAUAUUGUUAUAUUUUUUAAAGAUGUAGAAUCUAAUAAAUUAGGCCCUGCCCUUUGUUUUUGUCAACACUUCACAGAAUAAUACACACACACACACACGUUCAACUGAGAAAGUAGUAAAUGGUCACUUUGUAUAAUUGCAUGUUUCCUUGUUUUGAAGUACAGUUGUGCACAGUUCGCUGUAGGUCUGACUUCAUGAAGUGGGAGUUGGAUGGGACUUAUAAGAGGCUGAUUUUUUUUAAUAUUUUUACUCUUGCAAUUCUUUGAAAAAGAAAUUGAAAGACGGGAUGGCUGAAUUUCAGACUUCGAGGGAAACCGUUUGCAAGGAAUACCAGGAAGUUUUUAAGAGGCGUGUUUUUGCAGUAAUGGGAGCACGAGCUGAUGAAGUGACAAUUCACAGAUUGAUUGAGACUGGAGAUAGUGAACAAAUAUUUCAGAAAGCAAUUCAGCUGCAAGGGUGAGACCAGGUUUUCCUCUUUGUGUUCCUCUUUUUGAAGAAUCUUUUGAACCAUUAAGGAGAAUACAAUUGUAAUGUGGCCAGUUCUGAGAA